GAUGAACGCUGGCGGCGUGCUUAACACAUGCAAGUCGAGCGAGAAGUUUUGAAAAGAUUCUUCGGAUGAAAUUUAAAAUGGAAAGCGGCGGACGGGUGAGUAACGCGUAGGCAACCUGCCCCAUACAAAGGGAUAGCAUUUGGAAACGAAUAUUAAUACCUUAUGAAACUUAACUAGUGCAUGCUAGGUAGGUCAAAGAUUUAUCGGUAUGGGAUGGGCCUGCGUCUGAUUAGCUAGUUGGUGAGGUAACGGCUCACCAAGGCGACGAUCAGUAGCCGACCUGAGAGGGUGAACGGCCACAUUGGAACUGAGACACGGUCCAAACUCCUACGGGAGGCAGCAGUGGGGAAUAUUGCACAAUGGGGGAAACCCUGAUGCAGCAACGCCGCGUGAACGAUGAAGGCCUUUGGGUCGUAAAGUUCUGUUUCUAGGUGAUGAAAAG
RNAcentral lists this ribosomal RNA (442 nucleotides) under [Eubacterium] brachy. RNAcentral describes it as "bacterial SSU rRNA". It matches the Rfam family "Bacterial small subunit ribosomal RNA", at positions 28 to 452 of the family's 1533-position model. Lineage: Bacteria; Bacillati; Bacillota; Clostridia; Peptostreptococcales; Anaerovoracaceae. The record is from RNAcentral.